UAGGGAAUUUUCCACAAUGGGCGAAAGCCUGAUGGAGCAACGCCGCGUGCAGGAUGAAGGCCUUAGGGUCGUAAACUGCUUUUCUCUGUGAAGAUUAUGACGGUAACAGAAGAAUAAGGAUCUGCUAACUACGUGCCAGCAGCCGCGGUCAUACGUAGGAUCCAAGCGUUAUCCGGAAUUACUGGGCGUAAAGAGUUGCGUAGGUGGCAUGGCAAGUUGGUAGUGAAAUCGUGUGGCUCAACCACACUCACAUUACCAAAACUACCAAGCUAGAGGGCGAGUGAGGUACCUGGAAUUCUCAGUGUAGGAGUGAAAUCCGUAGAUAUUGGGAGGAACACCAAUGGCGUAAGCAGGGUACUGGCUCGUUCCUGACACUCAGGCACGAAAGCGUGGGGAGCAAACGGGAUUAGAUACCCCCGUAGUCC
RNAcentral lists this ribosomal RNA (425 nucleotides) under uncultured bacterium. RNAcentral's name for it is "bacterial SSU rRNA". It matches the Rfam family "Bacterial small subunit ribosomal RNA", at positions 355 to 796 of the family's 1533-position model. The record is from RNAcentral.